AUUGAACGCUGGCGGCAGGCCUAACACAUGCAAGUCGAGCGGAUGAAGGGAGCUUGCUCCUGGAUUCAGCGGCGGACGGGUGAGUAAUGCCUAGGAAUCUGCCUGGUAGUGGGGGAUAACGUCCGGAAACGGGCGCUAAUACCGCAUACGUCCUGAGGGAGAAAGUGGGGGAUCUUCGGACCUCACGCUAUCAGAUGAGCCUAGGUCGGAUUAGCUAGUUGGUGGGGUAAAGGCCUGCCAAGGCGACGAUCCGUAACUGGUCUGAGAGGAUGAUCAGUCACACUGGAACUGAGACACGGUCCAGACUCCUACGGGAGGCAGCAGUGGGGAAUAUUGGACAAUGGGCGAAAGCCUGAUCCAGCCAUGCCGCGUGUGUGAAGAAGGUCCUCGGAUUGUAAAGCACUUUAAGUUGGGAGGAAGGGCAGUAAGUUAAUACCUUGCUGUUUUGACGUUACCAACAGAAUAAGCACCGGCUAACUUCGUG
Molecule: ribosomal RNA, 484 nt
Filed under: uncultured bacterium
Lineage: Bacteria
Description: partial 16S ribosomal RNA
Rfam family: Bacterial small subunit ribosomal RNA
Source: RNAcentral